RNAcentral lists this unclassified non-coding RNA (343 nucleotides) under soil metagenome. RNAcentral describes it as "partial contains 5.8S ribosomal RNA, internal transcribed spacer 2, and large subunit ribosomal RNA". The stretch from base 1 to 120 matches the Rfam family "5.8S ribosomal RNA", at positions 35 to 154 of the family's 154-position model. The record is from RNAcentral.
GAUGAAGAACGUAGCGAAAUGCGAUAAGUAAUGUGAAUUGCAGAAUUCAGUGAAUCAUCGAAUCUUUGAACGCACAUUGCGCCCGCCAGUAUUCUGGCGGGCAUGCCUGUUCGAGCGUCAUUUCAACCCUCAGGCCCCGCCUGGCGUUGGGGAUCGGCGCGGCCCUCUCCGGGCUGCCGGCCCCGAAAACUAGUGGCGGUCUCGCUGUAGUCCUCCUCUGCGCAGUAGCAACGCUCGCACUGGAACUCGGCGCAGCCACGCCGUAAAACACCCCACUUCUGAAAGUUGACCUCGGAUCAGGUAGGAAUACCCGCUGAACUUAAGCAUAUCAAUAAGCGGAGGA